UACAGAGGAGCCAAGCGUUGUCCGGAUUGACUGGGCGUAAAGCGCACGCAGGCGGAUGCGCGCGUGGGGUGUGAAAUCUGGCCGCUUAACGGCCAGGCGCCAUCCCAUACGGCGCGUCUGGAGUGAUGCAGAGGUCGGUGGAAUUGCCGGUGUAGUGGUGAAAUGCGUAGAGAUCCGGAAGAACACCGGUGGCGAAGGCGGCCUGCUGGGCAGUGGCUGACACUGAGGCGCGACAGCGUGGGGAGCAAACAGG
Molecule: ribosomal RNA, 253 nt
Filed under: uncultured bacterium
Lineage: Bacteria
Description: partial 16S ribosomal RNA
Rfam family: Bacterial small subunit ribosomal RNA
Source: RNAcentral